UUUCAGACAGCUUUGUUUUGCCAGCUGUAUUUUCAAGCAGCCAAGGACAACAACAACAGACAGAGUAAACUUUGUUUUGGCACCCAACCCACAAUCUGAUGAGAUAAACUUGUGUUUUUCUAAGUUUUCAUACUUACAUUCAUUGCAAUAACAAGCUAUUCUUCCACUGAAAAUAGCCUGAACUAAGGAUAUUUUGCUCUGGAAAACAAAUACAUUCUUUCUUGUGUCACAUACAGCCACUACAGGAAGAUUUGAUGCAGGAGAAAUGGGUGAUAUACAGCCAGGCAAUCUUUGUAAGAAGAAGAAGGUCACUGGAUUGCCAGUAAAGCUGUUUGAAAACAAAGAAAAAGGAAAGCAUCAAGUGUAGGAAUACCAGAAUGCCUACACUGUUGUUAGCUCUAAGGUUUUCCUCUCAGAAACAAAGAAGGCAAGCCUUUCAACUCUGUCCUCUUCAAUGGCUACUCUUGUCUCCAGACUCCACAGAUCACUUGGAAAAGAAUAAUCAGAACAAUAAGAAAGCAUACCUAAAGUAUCAGAAUGUAAAAGAGUUUUUGAUACUGAUGCUCCUUUAAAAUUAUCUCAGGAAAAGAAGAAGAAAAAAAAAAUGGUUAGUAUAAGAGAAUUAGUCAGAUAAUCACAGAAUUGCUGGGGUUGUAUGGGACCUCAAGACUCAUCAAGCUUCAACUCCCCUGCCACAUGCAGGGCCACCAACCUCCAUAUGUAAUACUAGGCCAGGCUGCCCAAGGCCCUAUCCAACCUGGCCUUGAAAACCUCAAGGGAUGGGGUAUCAAACUGUUACAGAAUUUUCUGCAGAAAGUAGUACUAAUCCCUCAAUUCAUAUCAUGCUAACCUGGGCUUUUUUUAAAGCACACAACUUAGCGUAAGUCAGACUGUUUUAAACCUCCAUCUGCAGUCACCAUUGUGCUACUCCCAACCAGUAAUUCCUGAAAGUCAUUUAUUCUCUUUCAGCUCUCAUAUACCUGUGUAAUAUACAAGACUUCAAUCCAAGUCCUACCACCCAAACAACAAACGACUUUUUAACAGUAGUUAUAUUAGAAUAUUUGUUGGAAGUGUCAGCACGAUAAAACUUGCUUUCAUUUCCCUAAGGAAAACACAGUCACCAUUUUUCUUCCCUCCCCCCCCUUCCCAGAAUUGUCCAAAUCUGUAGUCCCAUAUUUUGUGAAACAGAGGGAAACAAUACCAUUGUUCUAGAAAUUAUUCAGUCUUCACUUGCAGUAAAUUUAAUUUUUUUCCAAAAAGAGUACAUGCACUGCAAUAAAUAACUAAAUAUCUCCACAUAAAUAUGUGAACAGAAAAUGAGGACUUAGUAUGUUUUCUUUCCAGAGAUCUUGCUUUUGUUUUACAAAGAACAAACAUGAAAGGCAGGCUCCUUCUGUAAGUAUGAUGCAACAAGAUAUCGUACUGCUGGCCAUCUCUGCUUUGUUUUUAUGUCCUGCAGAGAGUGACAUCUGUGUGCAAAUUAACAACAGAUUUGUGUAAGCUAGCUGUGAAUGAAAUAUUUGGGGAAAAAAAAACCCAGAAACUUAUCUAUAAAAUAAUUAAUGUAACAAGUAAUUUAAUUCAAUUUUGAAACACUCACAUUACCUAGAUGAUGUAUACAUUGCUAGCAAAUCAAAGUAUUAAUCACUACUAAAUCAAAGUGAUAGGUUGGACUAGAAUGGGUGACGGGUGACUCCUAGAUGUUUAAUACUCAGGGUUUUAAUGGCUACAUCAAGUAGUGCAGGACAGAACAAGUGUGUCUUUAGAGCAGAACAACUGGUGCUGAGGACCUAUGUACACAGAAAUGAUUUGGUGGGGUUUUAUUUUGGGCUAAUCUGAUCCACAUGGUGAAAACAAAUUAAUAGCUGGAGCUCAUUAUGUGGCUCCUAGACCACAUCUUCUAAGCUAGUUUCAUUC
Non-coding RNA from Coturnix japonica (Japanese quail), 1917 nucleotides. The record is from RefSeq and is a predicted model, not a curated record. NCBI's taxonomy places the organism in Eukaryota, Metazoa, Chordata, Aves, Galliformes, Phasianidae.